This 212-nucleotide ribosomal RNA is filed under the name Clostridioides difficile. RNAcentral's name for it is "partial 23S ribosomal RNA". It matches the Rfam family "Bacterial large subunit ribosomal RNA", at positions 1336 to 1540 of the family's 2925-position model. Lineage: Bacteria; Bacillati; Bacillota; Clostridia; Peptostreptococcales; Peptostreptococcaceae. The record is from RNAcentral.
ACAGGCCGUAAACCCAAGGUUUCCAGGGGAAGGUUCGUCCGCCCUGGGUUAGUCGGGACCUAAGCUGAGGCCGAAAGGCGUAGGCGAUGGACAACAGGUUGAUAUUCCUGUACUACCGAUAACCGUUCGAGAGAGGGGAUGACACAGUAGGAUAAGCUAAGCACACUGUUGGUUAUGUGUGCCCAAGCAUUGAGGCAGUCAAAGUAGGCAAA